UUUUUUUUUUUUUUUUAAAUUUGCUCCCAACAUGGCAUGAUCUUCCUUUUAUUGGUUAGACCAUUUACUAAAUACCAAGAUCUAUGUUGGUGAGGGCUAGAGAGAAGAUAUUUUGAAUACAAACAAUUCACAGCCUAGAUGAGUUCAAAUGCAAUCAAUUGUAUUGAGACCUUUAGACAUCCUAAUUGUUAAAUAAUAUGGUGUCAUUAUGAUACUAUGGGAUGCAGGAUUAUUGAAUUUCAUGUUUGAAUGUAAGUCUCAGACAAAAUUACUGAUAAAAGGAUUAAGGCUUUUCUUAAAUUGUAAUUCUGCCUUAUAUUUUCAAAAUAAGUGUAGAUACUAGGCUCAAACAGAUGUAUUCUUAUUUUGGGAUCAAGCAGCUGCUUUGUGUCAUAUGUUGAAACUAUAUAGAAAUAGAAAAUUAAGCUGCUCAAGCUUGGCACAUUUUAUCUUUGCUUGAUGUGGAGCAUUUCUUCUGUUGAGCCAAUGCUGAGGGUUUUUUU
RNAcentral lists this unclassified non-coding RNA (503 nucleotides) under Hevea brasiliensis (rubber tree). Lineage: Eukaryota; Viridiplantae; Streptophyta; Magnoliopsida; Malpighiales; Euphorbiaceae. The record is from RNAcentral.